This 398-nucleotide ribosomal RNA is filed under the name uncultured beta proteobacterium. RNAcentral describes it as "bacterial SSU rRNA". It matches the Rfam family "Bacterial small subunit ribosomal RNA", at positions 9 to 416 of the family's 1533-position model. The record is from RNAcentral. Lineage: Bacteria; Pseudomonadati; Pseudomonadota; Betaproteobacteria.
GAGUUUGAUCGUGGCUCAGAUUGAACGCUGGCGGCAUGCCUUACACAUGCAAGUCGAACGGUAACAGGUUAAGCUGACGAGUGGCGAACGGGUGAGUAAUAUAUCGGAACGUGCCCAGUCGUGGGGGAUAACUGCUCGAAAGAGCAGCUAAUACCGCAUACGACCUGAGGGUGAAAGCGGGGGAUCGCAAGACCUCGCGCGAUUGGAGCGGCCGAUAUCAGAUUAGGUAGUUGGUGGGGUAAAAGCCUACCAAGCCAACGAUCUGUAGCUGGUCUGAGAGGACGACCAGCCACACUGGGACUGAGACACGGCCCAGACUCCUACGGGAGGCAGCAGUGGGGAAUUUUGGACAAUGGACGCAAGUCUGAUCCAGCCAUGCCGCGUGCGGGAAGAAGGCC